UACGUAGGAGGCAAACGUUAUCCGGAUUUACUGGGCGUAAAGCGCGUGUAGGUGGUUCUGUAAGUAGGGCGUGAAAGCUCCCGGCUCAACUGGGAGAGGCCGUUCUAAACUGCAGAGCUAGAGGAUGGUAGAGGGAGGUGGAAUUCCAGGUGUAGCGGUGGAAUGCGCAGAUAUCUGGAGGAACACCAGUGGCGAAGGCGGCCUCCUGGACCAUUCCUGACACUCAGACGCGAAAGCUAGGGUAGCAAACGGGAUUAGAUACCCCGGUAGUCCCUGA
Molecule: ribosomal RNA, 277 nt
Filed under: uncultured prokaryote
Description: partial 16S ribosomal RNA
Rfam family: Bacterial small subunit ribosomal RNA
Source: RNAcentral